Long non-coding RNA from Fundulus heteroclitus (mummichog), 572 nucleotides. RefSeq lists it as uncharacterized. Lineage: Eukaryota; Metazoa; Chordata; Actinopteri; Cyprinodontiformes; Fundulidae. The record is from RefSeq and is a predicted model, not a curated record. The transcript has 2 exons.
CUCUGGUCUGUAUUACUGUGAUGUUCAGACUGAUGAUGGUUCUGGUUCUGGAUCCUGUGGACUCAACGUCUCUGCUGCUGAUCAGCUUCAACCUCAGAGACCAACUUUGACUCCAGAACCAGAGAGACGGACAAAGAUCAUCUGGAUCACAGCAGCAGCAGCUUUGGUGGUUUUAUGUAUUAUUGUCCUGGUUUUUACAUUUAUCUGUAAGAAGAAGAAGAAAAAAAGGGGGGUUCAAGUAUUAUAUAAACAUUCAGUGUGUUUGAGAAUCAUCAUCUGAACUCUUGAAGGACAUUUUGAGAAAAAUCUUGAACUUCUGUUUUAAAGAAUUAACAAUAUUUAAACUUUUGAAAUCUAUCAAAACAAUAAAACAUGACUUUAAAUGCACAAUAACUUGUUUUAUAUCUUGGUACUCAGUAGAUGUUUUAGACCCUUUCUACUUUAACUCCAGUUCCUUUCUUACUUUCUUCAUAUCAGCAGAGGUCGUUUGUAUCUCCGGUUAAUGCUAAAUAUCAGAUUAACUGAAUCUGACGUUGUUCCACCUGCAGCUGUAACUUAUUAUUGUGAAGAAG